AUGGAAGCCGCACGGAUCGCGUCCUUUCUGCUCCUCCUCGGGGUCGUUUGGUCACGCGCACAGCCCGGCGCCGAGGCGGCCGGCACGACGGUCUUCACGCUGCGCAACAACUGCACCUUCACGAUCUGGCCGGCCACAUUGUCCGGCAACAGCGUCGUCGCCGUCGGGGGCGGCGGCUUCGAGCUCGCGCCCGGCGCCAACGUGUCGUUCCCCGGCCCGACGGGCUGGUCCGGCCGGCUCUGGGCGCGCACCGGCUGCGUCGCCGCGGAAACCGGCGCGUCCCUCGCCUGCGCCACGGGCGACUGCGGCGGGGCCGUGAGUUGCACCCUCGGCGGGGCGCCCCCCGUCACGCUCGCCGAGUUCACCCUCGGGGGCGCCGACGGGAAGGACUUCUACGACGUGAGCCUGGUCGACGGGUACAACGUGGGCAUCGGCGUGGCGGCCACGGGCGCCAGGGUGAACUCCUCGACGUGCGGCUACGCCGGGUGCGUGGGCGACGUGAACGCGCUGUGCCCCGCGGAGCUGCAGGUGGCCGGAAAGGAAGGGGACGAGGAGGGGAUGACGGUGGCGUGCCGGAGCGCGUGCGAGGCGUUCGGGACGGCCGAGUACUGCUGCACGGGCGCGCACGGCGGGCCGGACAGCUGCGGGCCGACCAAGUACUCGAGGCUGUUCAAGGCGGCGUGCCCCGCCGCCUACAGCUACGCCUACGACGAUCCCACCAGCACCUUCACCUGCGGCGCCGGAGCGCAGUACCUAAUCACCUUUUGCCCCGCGCAGCAGUAG
This 783-nucleotide ribosomal RNA is filed under the name Triticum aestivum (bread wheat). RNAcentral describes it as "partial small subunit ribosomal RNA". Lineage: Eukaryota; Viridiplantae; Streptophyta; Magnoliopsida; Poales; Poaceae. The record is from RNAcentral.